This 558-nucleotide long non-coding RNA is filed under the name Homo sapiens (human). RNAcentral's name for it is "HSALNT0357485". The record is from RNAcentral. Lineage: Eukaryota; Metazoa; Chordata; Mammalia; Primates; Hominidae.
UCCUGCCAUGUGGUGACAGAUUAAAAGCUGCUAUACACUUUGGAACUGGAAACUGAGCUCCCAAUAUAAAGGAGAUAAGCCAUCAUGCUUACAAUAUGUUGUGCAGAGCUCACUGGUGGGCAGUUUUUCUUAACAAUGCAUCAGGACUUUUGCUAUUUGUAAAGGAAGCUUAAAGGAAGCUGAGAGUGCUGAGGGCACAUCUGAAACCACUGGAGGUUGGCGACGUGGAGGUCAGGACGGAUGCGUGGCCAGCCUCAGGUUGCUAAAUGUUAGGGUGAUCUGCCUUCCUUCUGGGGCGGUGAUUCUCCACUUGUAGAUCCGGCCAUGAGGAUUUAGGUUCGGGUAGUUGGGAGAAGUAGAUGUUCCAGCAGAGCCCUGAAGAUCCCCACCACACUCUGAUGUGGGGGAAGAAAGCCAAGAAAACUUCCAAUCAAAUCAAAAUGUCUCCUUCCAUCAGGAAAGCUCUCAAAAUUCAGCCAACCAAAUGAUUAUGGCACAUUGUGCAUGGGGCAGAACAUCACAGAAGCACGAAUAAAUAUCCAGCACUUCGAUAAGCAU